GGAAGGAUGAUAGAACGUGACUAUAACAGCAGAUACAGAGGAAGAGGAGGGAGUGGAAGGAUGACAGAAAGUGACUUUAACAGCAGAUACAGAGGAAGAGAAGGGAGUGGAAGGAUGAUAGAACGUGACUUUAACAGCAGAUACAGAGGAAGAGGAGGAAGAGGAGGGAGUGGAAGGAUGAUAGAACGUGACUUUAACAGCAGAUACAGAGGAAGAGAAGGUAGAGAGGAGGGAGUGGAAGGAUGAUAGAACGUGACUUUAACAGCAGAUAUAGAGGAAGAGGAGGGAGUGGAAGGAUGAUAGAACGUGACUUUAACAGCAGAUACAGAGGAAGAGGAGGGAGUGGAAGGAUGACAGAACGUGACUUUAACAGCAGAUACAGAGGAAGAGAAGGGAGUGGAAGGAUGAUAGAACGUGACUUUAACAGCAGAUACAGAGGAAGAGGAGGGAGUGGAAGGAUGAUAGAACGUGACUUUAACAGCAGAUACAGAGGAAGAGCAAGGAUGAUAGAACGUGACUAUAACAGCAGAUACAGAGGAAGAGGAGGGAGUGGAAGGAUGAUAGAACGUGACUUUAACAGCAGAUACAGAGGAAGAGGAAGGAUGAUAGAACGUGACUAUAACAGGAGAUACAGAGGAAGAGAAGGGAGUGGAAGGAUGAUAGAACGUGACUUUAACAGCAGAUACAGAGGAAGAGGAGGGAGUGGAAGGAUGACAGAACGUGACUUUAACAGCAGAUACAGAGGAAGGAAGAGGGAGUGGAAGGAUGAUAGAACGUGACUUUAACAGCAGAUACAGAGGAAGAGGAAGGAUGAUAGAACGUGACUAUAACAGGAGAUACAGAGGAAGAGAAGGGAGUGGAAGGAUGAUAGAACGUGACUUUAACAGCAGAUACAGAGGAAGAGGAGGGAGUGGAAGGAUGACAGAACGUGACUUUAACAGCAGAUACAGAGGAAGAGGAGGGAGUGGAAGGAUGAUAGAACGUGACUUUAACAGCAGAUACAGAGGAAGAGGAGGGAGUGGAAGGAUGACAGAACGUGACUUUAACAGCAGAUA
Oncorhynchus keta (chum salmon) is the source of this 1055-nucleotide long non-coding RNA. RefSeq lists it as uncharacterized. The record is from RefSeq and is a predicted model, not a curated record. Lineage: Eukaryota; Metazoa; Chordata; Actinopteri; Salmoniformes; Salmonidae. The transcript has 3 exons.